RNAcentral lists this ribosomal RNA (738 nucleotides) under uncultured bacterium. Its description in RNAcentral is "partial 16S ribosomal RNA". It matches the Rfam family "Bacterial small subunit ribosomal RNA", at positions 62 to 794 of the family's 1533-position model. The record is from RNAcentral.
UCGAGGGGCAUCAGCUUAUGCAAUAUAGGGCUGGCGANNNNNAAACGGGUGCGGAACACGUACACAACCUUCCUUUAAGAGGGGGAUAGCCCAUAGAAAUGUGGAUUAAUACCCCGUAAGAUAGUGGGAUGGCAUCAUACUACUAUUAUAGUUACGACGCUUGAAGAUGGGUGUGCGUCUGAUUAGGUAGUUGGCGGGGUAAAGGCCCACCAAGCCUUCGAUCAGUAGCUGAUGUGAGAGCAUGAUCAGCCACACGGGCACUGAGACACGGGCCCGACUCCUACGGGAGGCAGCAGUAAGGAAUAUUGGUCAAUGGACGCAAGUCUGAACCAGCCAUGCCGCGUGAAGGAUGAAGGUCCUCUGGAUUGUAAACUUCUUUUAUAGGGGGCGAAAAAAGGGAAAUCUUUCUCACUUGACAGUACCCUAUGAAUAAGCACCGGCUAACUCCGUGCCAGCAGCCGCGGUAAUACGGAGGGUGCAAGCGUUAUCCGGAUUCACUGGGUUUAAAGGGUGCGUAGGCGGGCGUAUAAGUCAGUGGUGAAAUCCUGGAGCUUAACUCCAGAACUGCCAUUGAUACUAUAUGUCUUGAAUAUGGUGGAGGUAAGCGGAAUAUGUCAUGUAGCGGUGAAAUGCAUAGAUAUGACAUAGAACACCUAUUGCGAAGGCAGCUUACUACGCCUAUNNNGACGCUGAGGCACGAAAGCGUGGGGANNNNNCAGGAUUANNNNNNNUNNNNNU